UGGGGGAUAUUGCACAAUGGGCGAAAGCCUGAUGCAGCGACGCCGCGUGGGGGAUGAAGGCCUUCGGGUUGUAAACUUCCUUUGCUCUGAACAAGGCGCACCAUGGGGUGUGUUGAGUGUAGGGGUUGAUUAGCGCCGGCUAACUACGUGCCAGCAGCCGCGGUAAUACGUAGGGCGCGGGCGUUGUCCGGAAUUAUUGGGCGUAAAGGGCUUGUAGGUGGCUGGUUGCGUCUGUCGUGAAAGCUCAUGGCUUAACUGUGGGUUUGCGGUGGGUACGGGCUGGCUUGAGUGCAGUAGGGGAGGCUGGAAUUCCUGGUGUAGCGGUGGAAUGCGCAGAUAUCAGGAGGAAUACCGGUGGCGAAGGCGGGUCUCUGGGCUGUUACUGACACUGAGGAGCGAAAGCAUGGGGAGCGAACAGG
RNAcentral lists this ribosomal RNA (419 nucleotides) under bacterium. RNAcentral's name for it is "partial 16S ribosomal RNA". It matches the Rfam family "Bacterial small subunit ribosomal RNA", at positions 355 to 776 of the family's 1533-position model. The record is from RNAcentral.